AAUUUAAGAGCGUAUGGUGGAUGCCUUGACUCAAAAUGGCGAUGAAAGACGUAGCAUGGCUGCGAUAAGUUACGGGGAGGUGCCUAGCAACCGUUAAUCCGUAAAUUUCUGAAUGGGGAAACCUAAUGACUAUAUGUCAUUGCUUAGGAGUUUAUCCUAAGUGCAUACCCGGGGAAGUAAAACAUUUCAGUACCCGGAGGAAAAUAAAACAAUGUUCGUAAGAACGACAUUUCCUUAGUAGCGGCGAGCGAAACGGAAAUAGCCCAAACCACCCUCCUAUCUUUGGUCCCAAAGUUUCGACUGCGGGGUUAAAGAUAGUAGGGUGGGGUUGUAAGGCAGGAACGUCAUAAUUUAUUAUGAGAGAAGUUACAAAAUAUUAUGUUAGUUGAAUGUGCUGGAAAGCACGACCCUAGAGGGUAAUGGUCCCGUAAACGAAAAUAUAAUAUCUUCUUUGUUUCUGUUCUUGAGUACCUCGAGACAUGAAUAGCUCGGGGGAAUCUGCCGGUACUAACCGGUAAGGCUAAAUACAUUUUGAGAUCGAUAGUGAACUAGUACCGUGAGGGAAAGGUGAAAAGAAGUCCGAUUAGGACAGUGAAAUAGAUCUGAAACCAUAUGCUUACAAGGAGUCGGAGCGGGGGCAUCACAUUGCAUGUGAUGCUAGUCAAAAGUUUAUAAAGUCAUAAAGUCCAUAAAGUAGAAUUCUGAAUUCACUUUACAAACUUUAUAGACUUUCAACUUUAUGGACUAUGCAUCGUGUUCAGCGCGAUGCCUCCGUCACGGCGUGCCUAUUGAAGAAUGAGCCAACGAGUUUUCGAUGUUUGCUUCGUUAAGCCCGACAGGGCGAAGCGGUAGCGAAAGCGAGUCUGAAUAGGGCGAA
This 877-nucleotide ribosomal RNA is filed under the name Candidatus Zambryskiibacteriota bacterium. RNAcentral's name for it is "partial 23S ribosomal RNA". It matches the Rfam family "Bacterial large subunit ribosomal RNA", at positions 1 to 696 of the family's 2925-position model. The record is from RNAcentral. Lineage: Bacteria; Candidatus Zambryskiibacteriota.